GUAAGGGAAGAAGAGGGAGAAGAAAGACAGGAGAGAGUGAGACAGGAGGCGGGGAGGAGGCUUCUGUGCGCUGAUUACUAAUGCAAUGCGGUGGAGAGCUCAGCAGGUUCUGUGGGGAAGCAUUUAUUGUGCAGGAGAAAGCAGGCAGCGUGUUCAAAAAGCUGUCUCCCGGCUCUGCAGCCAAGCUGGAGGGGAGGAGAGGGCCCUGCAGGGUUUGGGGGCUGCUCUGCCUCUGAGAUGCAGGACAGUCUGCACCUCCCACUCCAGGGGAAUCUAAUCCACUCAGGCCAAGGGAGGAAAGAGGAGGCGGCCCGAGGCCACACUGUCCAAGGGGGUCGCCAUCCGACUCUGAAGCCUGGAGACCCUGGAGCCCCAGAGUGAGUCUUCCCGAGGCCGUGACCAGAGGCAAGUGACAAUCAGACCCCCUUAAAAUGCUCCUUACUGCCCCCCUCCUCAAAGUCCCCCCUCCUGGAAGCUGGGAUUCUCCCUCCCUCUUCAAGCUCUCCCUUAGGGCUCCUGUCUCAUGCUGGGCUCCCCCUUCUCCACUCAGUCCCUCAUUACCCUUCCGGGCCCGGUAGCCAAGCAACAGAUCCUUCCUCCUUAAAAGGUUAUGUUUUCUCUGGUCACUGUCACCCUCUGCUUUGUGAAUCACGCUCACUUCCCUCCUGCCUUGUGUUUUUAGCAUGAGUAACAGGGACUGAGGACAUCAAGUUUUUCAGAGAAGGAUCCGUUGUGCUUACAAUAGAACCCUGAAGCCCUUCCUGUUCAGGGCCGGGCCUCUCUGGCCCCACCCCACCCCCAGCUCUGCCUGCUCACCUGGGCCUCACCUGGCCUCUUCUUACCUCCGCCGAACUCGCCAUGGUUGCUUCUGCUCAGGGCCUUUGUACCUCUGUCCCCUCUGCCUGGAGUGUGUUCCUGCCACUUUGCUGGCUGCUGCUUUCUUCUCGUGGAGAUGUCAGCUCAGCCAUCACCACAGACGUGACUUCCUUGCCUGCCACACCUACUGUCACCAUCUUCCACUCCCAGUAUCUGAGGCUUCCUUUCGAACACCACUUCCCGCCCCAGUUAUAUGGUUUGUGAUGGUUUAUCUGUUUGCUCUGUUGUCUGUGUCCUCUCCCCCAGACUGAGAAGAGACCUGCCUGUUUCUUAUGCUGAUGUCUCUAACACUUAAUAAAGAGCCAUUCACAGAGGUAGAGGAGGAUGCUAGAGACAGUAAGGCAGGGGCAGGGCUGGAUCUCUGGGAAUCUCUCUGGCCAGCGGCCUUGUGGAUUCAGAGGGGCCUUCUGUGUCCAGCUCAGAAAACAGAGACCCAGGAUCCAUGUGAAAGGGAGGAUCUUCCUGGUCAGGAGUUGGCGGGUCCCCUGCAGCCUCUGAGGCCACUCUGCUCAGGGUAGGGUGAGUGUGCUUGCUCCUCAGCUUUGACACUUUGCCUGGUCAGGGCAUCUUCACAGGCCGUGGUAGAAGCUAUUUGGAAAACGCACCCACGAAGUAGCACUCACCUGGGCAUGGGGUGCUGGGACUUUGCUGGGUGAUGGCAGCAAAUAAGUGAAGGGCUCCCCUUGGGCCCCAGGUAAGGGACAAGUGGGC
This 1587-nucleotide long non-coding RNA is filed under the name Heterocephalus glaber (naked mole-rat). Its description in RNAcentral is "lncRNA (ENSHGLG00100051451.1)". The record is from RNAcentral. Lineage: Eukaryota; Metazoa; Chordata; Mammalia; Rodentia; Bathyergidae.